GAUGAACGCUGGCGGUAUGCUUAACACAUGCAAGUCGAACGGACUCUUCGGAGUUAGUGGCGGACGGGUGAGUAACGCGUGAGAAUCUGGCUUUGGGUUCGGGACAACCACUGGAAACGGUGGCUAAUACCGGAUGUGCCGAGAGGUAAAAGAGAAAUUGCCUGAAGAUGAGCUCGCGUCUGAUUAGCUAGUUGGUGAGGUAAAGUCUCACCAAGGCAGCGAUCAGUAGCUGGUCUGAGAGGAGGACCAGCCACACUGGGACUGAGACACGGCCCAGACUCCUACGGGAGGCAGCAGUGGUGAAUUUUCCGCAAUGGGCGAAAGACUGACGAAGCAAUAACGCGUGAGGGAAGAAGGCUCUUGGGGUGUAAACCUAUUUUCUUAGGGAAGAACAAAAUGACGGUACCUAAGGAAUCAGCACCGGCUAACUCCGUG
Molecule: ribosomal RNA, 435 nt
Filed under: uncultured bacterium
Lineage: Bacteria
Description: partial 16S ribosomal RNA
Rfam family: Bacterial small subunit ribosomal RNA
Source: RNAcentral